CCUACGGGGGGCUGCAGUGGGGAAUAUUGGACAAUGGGGGGAACCCUGAUCCAGCCAUGCCGCGUGUGUGAAGAAGGCCCUCGGGUUGUAAAGCACUUUCAGUGAGGAAGAACGCCUGGUGGUUAAUACCCAUCAGGAAAGACAUCACUCACAGAAGAAGCACCGGCUAACUCCGUGCCAGCAGCCGCGGUAAUACGGAGGGUGCGAGCGUUAAUCGGAAUUUCUGGGCGUAAAGCGCGCGUAGGUGGCUUGAUAAGCCGGUUGUGAAAGCCCCGGGCUCAACCUGGGAACGGCAUCCGGAACUGUCAAGCUAGAGUGCAGGAGAGGAAGGUAGAAUUCCCGGUGUAGCGGUGAAAUGCGUAGAGAUCGGGAGGAAUACCAGUGGCGAAGGCGGCCUUCUGGACUGACACUGACACUGAGGUGCGAAAGCGUGGGUAGCAAACAGGAUUAGAUACCCUGGUAGUC
This 465-nucleotide ribosomal RNA is filed under the name Vreelandella stevensii. RNAcentral's name for it is "partial 16S ribosomal RNA". It matches the Rfam family "Bacterial small subunit ribosomal RNA", at positions 338 to 795 of the family's 1533-position model. The record is from RNAcentral. Lineage: Bacteria; Pseudomonadati; Pseudomonadota; Gammaproteobacteria; Oceanospirillales; Halomonadaceae.